RNAcentral lists this ribosomal RNA (775 nucleotides) under uncultured Neocallimastigales. RNAcentral describes it as "partial large subunit ribosomal RNA". It matches the Rfam family "Eukaryotic large subunit ribosomal RNA", at positions 22 to 615 of the family's 3401-position model. Lineage: Eukaryota; Fungi; Neocallimastigomycota; Neocallimastigomycetes; Neocallimastigales. The record is from RNAcentral.
GUACACGCUGUGACUAGCAUAUCAAUAAGCGGAGGAAAAGCAACUAACAAGGAUUCCCCUAGUAACGGCGAGUGAGGCGGGAAGAGCUCAAAUUUGAAAUCUUAAAGGGUUUCCCUUUACGAAUUGUAGUUUAAAGAAGUGUUUUCUGUUGAGGUUUUGGUAAAAGUUCUUUGGAAUAGGACAUCAUAGAGGGUGAGAAUCCCGUAUUUGACCUUUACUUUCAACUUUGUGAUACACUUUCAAAGAGUCGGAUUGUUUGGGAAUGCAGUCCAAAAUGGGUGGUAAAUUUCAUCUAAAGCUAAAUAUUGGCGAGAGACCGAUAGCGAACAAGUGCCGUGAGGGAAAGAUGAAAAGAACUUUGAAAAGAGAGUUAAACAGUACGUGAAAUUGUCAAAAGGGAAGCGUUUGACACCAGUGUUGUUUUUCUGAAAAUCAAUUAAAGAACUGUUUAUGCUAAGUUGUUUAGACUUUAUCAGCUAACUGUUUAGUUUUGAGCUUUUCUUUAAUGCACUUUUCAGUUAACAAGUCAACAUCAAUUUCUUUUGCUGUAAAAAAGCUUGAGGAAGGUGGCUUGAGAUUCGUCCUUAAGUGUUUAUAGCCUCUUGCCUAUGCAGUCGGAGAGAUUGAGGUCUGCAGCGUAGAUCCUUCGGGGCUAAAUGCAUCUGUGCUAAGUUAUAGCAUUUUAUAGACAACUUGUUGACUAUGAUUUGUCUUGUAGCUUACUCGCUUAUGUUAUUUUACCUACGCUUAGGAUAUUGACGCGCGUGUGUGCGUG